RNAcentral lists this ribosomal RNA (497 nucleotides) under uncultured bacterium. Its description in RNAcentral is "partial 16S ribosomal RNA". It matches the Rfam family "Bacterial small subunit ribosomal RNA", at positions 28 to 507 of the family's 1533-position model. The record is from RNAcentral.
GAUGAACGCUGGCGGCGUGCCUAAUACAUGCAAGUCGAGCGAACGGACGAGAAGCUUGCUUCUCUGAUGUUAGCGGCGGACGGGUGAGUAACACGUGGAUAACCUACCUAUAAGACUGGGAUAACUUCGGGAAACCGGAGCUAAUACCGGAUAAUAUUUUGAACCGCAUGGUUCAAAAGUGAAAGACGGUCUUGCUGUCACUUAUAGAUGGAUCCGCGCUGCAUUAGCUAGUUGGUAAGGUAACGGCUUACCAAGGCAACGAUGCAUAGCCGACCUGAGAGGGUGAUCGGCCACACUGGAACUGAGACACGGUCCAGACUCCUACGGGAGGCAGCAGUAGGGAAUCUUCCGCAAUGGGCGAAAGCCUGACGGAGCAACACCGCGUGAGUGAUGAAGGUCUUCGGAUCGUAAAACUCUGUUAUUAGGGAAGAACAUAUGUGUAAGUAACUGUGCACAUCUUGACGGUACCUAAUCAGAAAGCCACGGCUAACUACGUG